GUGCUUAUUUCAGCAUCACAUAUACUAAAUUGGAAUGAUACAGAGAAAAAAAUAGCAUGGCCCCCCGCACAAAGAUGACAUGCAAAUUUGUGAGAUGCUCCAUAUUUUU
This 109-nucleotide small nuclear RNA is filed under the name Castor canadensis (American beaver). Lineage: Eukaryota; Metazoa; Chordata; Mammalia; Rodentia; Castoridae. The record is from RNAcentral.